GACCCAGGCCGCCGGCCCUAACCAUGCAAGUCGAGCGAGAUCUUCGGAUCUAGCGGCGGACGGGUGAGUAACGCGUGGGAACGUGCCCUUCUCUACGGAAUAGUCCCGGGAAACUGGGUUUAAUACCGUAUACGCCCUUCGGGGGAAAGAUUUAUCGGAGAAGGAUCGGCCCGCGUUGGAUUAGGUAGUUGGUGGGGUAAUGGCCUACCAAGCCGACGAUCCAUAGCUGGUUUGAGAGGAUGAUCAGCCACACUGGGACUGAGACACGGCCCAGACUCCUACGGGAGGCAGCAGUGGGGAAUCUUAGACAAUGGGCGCAAGCCUGAUCUAGCCAUGCCGCGUGAGUGACGAAGGCCCUAGGGUCGUAAAGCUCUUUCACCAGGGAUGAUAAUGACAGUACCUGGAGAAGAAACCCCGGCUAACUCCGUGCCAGCAGCCGCGGUAAUACGGAGGGGGUUAGCGUUGUUCGGAAUUACUGGGCGUAAAGCGCGCGUAGGCGGGCUGUUAAGUCGGGGGUGAAAUCCCGGGGCUCAACCCCGGAACUGCCCUCGAUACUGGCA
This 560-nucleotide ribosomal RNA is filed under the name Roseicyclus sp. Its description in RNAcentral is "bacterial SSU rRNA". It matches the Rfam family "Bacterial small subunit ribosomal RNA", at positions 32 to 638 of the family's 1533-position model. The record is from RNAcentral. Lineage: Bacteria; Pseudomonadati; Pseudomonadota; Alphaproteobacteria; Rhodobacterales; Roseobacteraceae.